Mercurialis annua (annual mercury) is the source of this 1770-nucleotide long non-coding RNA. RefSeq lists it as uncharacterized. The transcript is spliced from 4 exons. NCBI's taxonomy places the organism in Eukaryota, Viridiplantae, Streptophyta, Magnoliopsida, Malpighiales, Euphorbiaceae. The record is from RefSeq and is a predicted model, not a curated record.
UUAAAUUCUAUAUACAAUAGGGGACACUAAUUUAUUUCUCUUUAUAUUAAUUACUAGAGUUUAAACAAAAUAUCAAAACUUAUCUAAAAAAGUGGCGAAAUCGUCUUUCUUUUUAGGGCUGAAUCCCUUAGGUAAAAAAAAUUGGAACACUUAGUUCACUGAAGCAAGUCUAAAUUACAAUAUUUCCACUCUCAAUUCAUCAAGGUCAGGCCAAUUGCAAGAACAAUUCUAUUUUCUCAUAGUUAUAUCAGGUGUGUGUUACUCGCUUUUCUGGGAUGUUCGACAAUCGCUUAUUCCAACAUCUAUUCUCAAAUGGUUAACAAAAACGUGAAAUUUUUAUUUGAUUCUUUUUGUAGCGCAGGAUUUAUUCCGUUCCUGUGUUAUAUUUUUAGUCUCACAUUUAUCGAAUUCGUAGAUUUCUCUUGGUUUUGAUUCAAUUUUGACAUCAAUUAACUCAUGGAAUUAGCAAUUUCAAUUUGUAAUCGUUCAAAACAAACACAAUUUUGUUGCCUAACACUGCAGCAAACUGUUCUAUCACCAGGUUCAUUAUUUCCUCUCUUUUUAAUUGCACAUGAUUUACUUUUUUUAACUGAAUAAAGUGUAUGUGCUACUUUGCUUUCCGGGGUACGGCAACUCGCGAUGGAGUCAUUCUAAUGCGGGAGGGGCUUGAUCAAAUGAGCUAAGCUAAUAUCUAGAGAUGAAGGCUAGCAUUGUGACUCUGCUUGCCUUCUAUACGGCUUGUUGCAUAAGCAGCUUCAACGGGAAAAAGUUCAGCAGAUUGUUGAUGAAACUGUGAAAAAUUGAAACUGAAUUUGUGUGUGAUACCCUUCAUGAGCAUUGUUCGACAUGAAUUUGACACUCAUGAGCUAGUACAUUAGGUUUGUUGCUGAUCGUCUAUUAGUUUGUCUUCGUUAAUUUGAAACUUUAUUUUCUUUUAUCCAUUGGGAGAAAAGAAAACAAAAAAACUUCUUACUGGCUUAUGAUUGAAUGAAAUUCAUAUCUUUGCAGCAAAUAAUUAUCCUUUUCUUUAAACUCCUCUUUGUUGAUACAAUACAAUAUGUAUAUCAUAUUAGGUAACUUAGUACUUUAUUAAAUAGUUAUUCCUUAUCAUGCCAUAAGCAUUGGAAUUAGAUUUGCUAUGUAAUUGUCAAUUUAGUUGAAUUGCAUUUGCUAUGUAUCAUUCUUACAAUUUUUAAAACUUAUUUUGUUGUUGUGAUCUAAUGACCAGCAUCAAUAAACACGUCACAGCUACACCAAAAGCUGAAGGCAGCAUCAACAAUAGUGAAAUCUUCUCUGUUAAUUUUUCUGUUUUGUUGCAUUGCAGCAGGUGAAAUCUUCUACCGUUUUUGUAUUUUCAUGGAUGCCUUGAUCAUGUCAUUGUGUUAUAUAGGUUAAUUAGUGCAAGACGUCAACUCAUCUUCAGAACACGGGGGCGUUGAGAGCGGAAACGCGAACCUUUGGAGUUUGGACAUUGUAAAGCUCCUUGACCCUGUCACAGCUCUCUGCCCACCAUCUUUUCCUGAUUUUCUUCACUAAGUUUUCGUGAUCUUUUCGACAAAAAGAUUUCACGAAGAUCUAAGAGCCAUCAGUUGCCGACUGUCAACAAAUUAGAAAAUUCAUAUUAUGUAUAUUUUGAUCAAUGAAUUUCUAUAGUAAAUAGAACUCAAGUGAAAUUCUUAUAAUUAAUAGUUUAGUCUUGGUUUAAUAUGAAUGUACAGUUGUGUAUUCUAACAUUUUGAAUUAUAAUGAAGAUUUUAUUGAUAUAUAGAA